RNAcentral lists this RNase P RNA (287 nucleotides) under Nitrososphaerota archaeon. RNAcentral's name for it is "RNase P RNA component". It matches the Rfam family "Archaeal RNase P". From Rfam's summary of the family: Ribonuclease P (RNase P) is a ubiquitous endoribonuclease, found in archaea, bacteria and eukarya as well as chloroplasts and mitochondria. Its best characterised activity is the generation of mature 5'-ends of tRNAs by cleaving the 5'-leader elements of precursor-tRNAs. The record is from RNAcentral. Lineage: Archaea; Thermoproteati; Nitrososphaerota.
GCGAGCCGGUGGGUGGGCCACGGGGAUCUCCUGGGGAAGUUCCUCCCUCGAUGCAGGAUGCACGACGCCGAGAGGCGUAACCGGAGACGGUUGGCUACGGAACAGAAACGAGACCCGUCCCGUCAAAUGCGAUGAAGGAGCGAUCCCGAGGUCGAUGGGAACGAGAUGAAACGGCCGACCCGUGCAGAGCAAGGCCGAACGUGGUCUAAGACGCGCCUGCACCAGGCCAAGGUAGGCCGCUGAGCUGAAUCCCGCCUAGAACAAAAGGAGGACUACGGCCGGCACGC